AAUAAAGAAGAAAGAAAGAAAGAAAGAAAAAAAUGAACAAGAGAGAAAAGGAACGAAGGAACAAAGAGAACAAUGAGAAUGUGCGCGCACGCGCGUGCAGAUUACAUUGGUAUGAGUACGUAGGUGUGUUAACUGCACGUGUCAGAAACAGAGAGAGAGAAAGAGAGACACAGUGGGAGGGAGGAAGAGAGAGGAGGAACUAGAUGACGUAAGCUUCGAUUACACGCCGUUGCAUGGCGCGUACGGCGCACGACUGCAAAUCGCAUUCGCGUCAGCGCGUUCAUCGUACACACACGUAUCUGUUUUCAGUGCGUGUAAAUCUGUCGUUUAUCUUCUCUCUCUCUCUCUCUCUCUCUCUCUUUCUCUCUUUCUCUGUUUUUCUUUUUGUAAAACGUAUAUGUAUGCGUGCUUACACGUAUGAAGGACGAGGCCUUCAAGCAGGCACGUAACACUCGCGUAUCUCUCUUCGCUUCUUCGUGUAUCAACCAUAUAUGUAUAUAUAUAUACAUAUAUAUAUAUGCUGUUAGAUUGCCGUCAGCUGACAAGAUGAGAACAAGUCUAGAAACAGGAAAAGACCUUCUACUUCUUCUUUGAGAUAUUACUUUUAAGAGAAAUGAGAAGACAUGUCCUAAGGAAUUUUUCAUUCAACUCUUCAUGGAAAUUAGACGAGAGAGAGAAAGAGAGAGAGAGAGAGAGAGAAAGAGAGAGAGGGGGGUUAACCUAACCAAACUUAAGACAUGUUUCAUAAUUUUACGAAAAUUGUGGAUAUAUGUACCUAACCUUACUUUCUAGUUUGAAAAGUAAAUGUUUUUAUGGUGAACUCGUAGAGACACCUAACCUCACUUUGUUAGUUCGAAAGUUAAACUACAGUCGUAAAACGCAGGAAGAAGAUUUCUCUGGAACAAAUAAAAGUGACGCCCGUCCCUCAUGGAUGUACGAAUCCUUUCUCCCUUUCCCUUCCCCAACCCUCUCCUUCACUUUCUUCCACGAAGGAAAACAAUUACUAUUGGAGGAACGGACGACGAUGAGAACGACGAUGAAAACGACGAUGAGAACGACAACUACGAAGACGACAAUGAUGACGGUGGUAAAACAGCUGUCGCCUUGACCUUACUCAAUACGCUUCUCGCCACGAUAUAUCGUGACUGCCAUUUCUUCACGUUCUCUUUCUCAGUCGAUGUAUAAAUCCGCUUUAAACGACUUUACUCUCUAUGAAACCUCGAUAUAUAACGUUGAAAAUAAAUUCCGCAGUUAAUCCUCGUAGUAAAGGGAUAAAUCACAAACGUGUCGAAUUUAAUUGAUUCCUAUGUAUGUAUGUAUGUAUGUAUGUAUGUAUGUAUGUAUGUAUGUAUGUAUGUAUGUAUGUAUAUAUGUAUGUAUGUAUAAUGUGUGUGUGUGUGUGUGUGUGUGUAUACAGCAACCACCAACCAACCUGUUGCACAUCAUACUCCCUCCUGUCCUAAUAAAUAAUAAAAGUAAAAACUCUUCAAUAUUUGUCAUGUACCAACCAAACGUCAUCGUGGAAUUUAAAAGGAAAAAGAAGAAAAAAAAAAAAAAAAGAAAAAAGAGAAAGAAGACAGGAAAAAAGAUAAAUCUAAAAGAGGAAUA
Vespa mandarinia (Asian giant hornet) is the source of this 1608-nucleotide long non-coding RNA. NCBI's taxonomy places the organism in Eukaryota, Metazoa, Arthropoda, Insecta, Hymenoptera, Vespidae. The record is from RefSeq and is a predicted model, not a curated record.